RNAcentral lists this ribosomal RNA (384 nucleotides) under Plestiodon marginatus (Ryukyu five-lined skink). Its description in RNAcentral is "partial 12S rRNA". It matches the Rfam family "Bacterial small subunit ribosomal RNA", at positions 794 to 1384 of the family's 1533-position model. Lineage: Eukaryota; Metazoa; Chordata; Lepidosauria; Squamata; Scincidae. The record is from RNAcentral.
GCUCAGCCGUAAACCAAGGUAGUAUAAACACAACACUACCCGCCAGAGAACUACAAGUGAAAAACUUAAAACUCCAAGGACUUGGCGGUGCUCCACACCAACCUAGAGGAGCCUGUCCUAUAAUCGAUAAUCCACGUUACACCCUACCACCUUUUGCCCCCAGCCUAUAUACCGCCGUCGAAAGCCUACCUUCUGAAAGAAGCACAGUAGGCAAAACAGUUAUUAACUAGCACGUCAGGUCAAGGUGUAGCACAUGAGGUGGAAGAGAUGGGCUACAUUUUCUGCCACAGAAAACACGAACAGCCUAAUGAAACUUAGGCCAAAAGGCGGAUUUAGCAGUAAGACAAACAAGAAGCCCUGUCUUAAACCCGCUCUGGAGCGCGC